AUUGAACGCUGGCGGCAUGCCUUACACAUGCAAGUCGAACGGUAACGGGCCUUCGGGUGCCGACGAGUGGCGAACGGGUGAGUAAUACAUCGGAACGUGCCCGAUCGUGGGGGAUAACGAGGCGAAAGCUUUGCUAAUACCGCAUACGAUAUACGGAUGAAAGCAGAGGACGGCAAGGGCUUGCGCGGACGGAGCGGCCGAUGGCAGAUUAGGUAGUUGGUGGGGUAAAAGCUUACCAAGCCGACGAUCUGUAGCUGGGCUGAGAGGAUGAUCAGCCACACUGGGACUGAGACACGGCCCAGACUCCUACGGGAGGCAGCAGUGGGGAAUUUUGGACAAUGGGCGCAUGCCUGCUCCAGCCAUGCCGCGUGCAGGCUGAAGGCCUUCGGGUUGUAAACUGCUUUUGUACGGAACGAAAAGCCUUCUUUUAAUACAGGAUGGUCAUGACGGUACCGUAAGAAUAAGCACCGGCUAACUACGUG
Molecule: ribosomal RNA, 482 nt
Filed under: uncultured bacterium
Lineage: Bacteria
Description: partial 16S ribosomal RNA
Rfam family: Bacterial small subunit ribosomal RNA
Source: RNAcentral